RNAcentral lists this long non-coding RNA (606 nucleotides) under Vulpes vulpes (red fox). Its description in RNAcentral is "lncRNA (ENSVVUG00000013746.1)". The record is from RNAcentral. Lineage: Eukaryota; Metazoa; Chordata; Mammalia; Carnivora; Canidae.
GGACCUUCCUCUUGUUACUUUAUANGCAGGCUCCCCGCAAUGCUUCUCUCUCUGCCUCUGUCUCUGCCUCUCUCUCUCAAUCUCAUGAAUAAAUAAAUAAAAAAAAAUUAAAUCCUAUGUAUCUGAUUGGACCUUCCUCUUGUUACUUUAUAGAUUUUCUGCCUUCAGCUUUUUUGGCAGUAUAAUUAAUCCUCUCUUGAAGCUCUUUAUUCAUUUUAGUAAGUUAAAAGUUGCAGCCAGUUUGUAUGUGUAGCAGAAUAUUUAGACAUGACCACAGAUGGGAAGAAACAAAUAAUCAUAAGAGGUCAGUAGGGAGAGAAGAAGAGUUCUCAGAAGCCUGCAAAAUGUAUCGGGGCAAUGGAAUGGAGAACUUACCCUCCAUCCAAAACAAGGCUUGGAACUGGAGAUUUCCCUCACAGCGGUAGCUUGGUACCUGGCCAAACCCAGAGAAGUGAAAUUAGCACAUCUACCUGACAGAUUCCUUGCCUGGUACUUUCCCUGUAACAACCAGGAUUCAGAGGGUCUGCUGAUUUCUUCCUGUCAAACUAAGACUUCCUGUCAUCGCCUGGUUCACAGCGCUUGAAUCUUGAUUGGUAAGAUGGGUGG